This 292-nucleotide ribosomal RNA is filed under the name uncultured bacterium. RNAcentral describes it as "partial 16S ribosomal RNA". It matches the Rfam family "Bacterial small subunit ribosomal RNA", at positions 505 to 796 of the family's 1533-position model. The record is from RNAcentral.
GUGCCAGCAGCCGCGGUAAUACAGAGGGUGCGAGCGUUGUCCGGAAUCACUGGGCGUAAAGGGCGCGUAGGUGGCUUGGUAAGCGUGUGGUGAAAGCCUGGGGCUCAACCCCAGGUCUGCCGUGCGAACUGCCAAGCUUGAGCAUAGUAGAGGCAGGUGGAAUUUCGGGUGUAGCGGUGGAAUGCGUAGAUAUCCGAAAGAACACCGGUGGCGAAGGCGGCCUGCUGGGCUAUUGCUGACACUGAGGCGCGACAGCGUGGGGAGCAAACAGGAUUAGAUACCCCGGUAGUCC